GGACCAAUUUGUUGGUCGUGCCUUGGUACGUACUGGUAUUAUUGGUUUCUCCCUUCUGAAGAACCUUGAUGUCAUUAAUUUGGUGUCUUGGAGAAUCAGGACUGUUACUUUGAAAAAAUUAGAGUGUUUAAAGCAGGCAUACGCUUGAAUACAUUAGCAUGGAAUAAUGAAAUAGGACAUCCGAUUCUAUUUUGUUGGUUUCUAGGAUCGAUGUA
RNAcentral lists this unclassified non-coding RNA (215 nucleotides) under uncultured Glomus. RNAcentral describes it as "sequence contains 18S rRNA gene". The stretch from base 46 to 215 matches the Rfam family "Eukaryotic small subunit ribosomal RNA", at positions 693 to 864 of the family's 1831-position model. The record is from RNAcentral. Lineage: Eukaryota; Fungi; Glomeromycota; Glomeromycetes; Glomerales; Glomeraceae.